GACCAUCUAGUGCAAUGGAUAGCACAUUGGACUUCUAAUCCAAGGGUCGUGAGUUCGAAUCCCACCUAGAUGGCCU
This 76-nucleotide transfer RNA is filed under the name Trichonephila clavata. RNAcentral describes it as "tRNA-Arg". It matches the Rfam family "tRNA". From Rfam's summary of the family: Transfer RNA (tRNA) molecules are approximately 80 nucleotides in length. Their secondary structure includes four short double-helical elements and three loops (D, anti-codon, and T loops). The record is from RNAcentral. Lineage: Eukaryota; Metazoa; Arthropoda; Arachnida; Araneae; Nephilidae.